UACGGGGGGAGCAAGCGUUGUUCGGAUUUACUGGGCGUAAAGGGCGCGUAGGCGGCCUCCGCAAGUCGACUGUGAAAUCUCCGGGCUUAACCCGGAAAGGUCAGCCGAAACUGCGGGGCUAGAGUGCAGAAGGGGCAACUGGAAUUCUCGGUGUAGCGGUGAAAUGCGUAGAUAUCGAGAGGAACACCUGCGGCGAAGGCGGGUUGCUGGGCUGACACUGACGCUGAAGCGCGAAAGCCAGGGGAGCGAACGGG
Molecule: ribosomal RNA, 254 nt
Filed under: uncultured bacterium
Lineage: Bacteria
Description: partial 16S ribosomal RNA
Rfam family: Bacterial small subunit ribosomal RNA
Source: RNAcentral